CCUUGAUCUUUGUUUUCUGAGAUU
Molecule: microRNA, 24 nt
Filed under: Caenorhabditis briggsae
Lineage: Eukaryota; Metazoa; Nematoda; Chromadorea; Rhabditida; Rhabditidae
Description: Cbr-Mir-2222-P1b_5p* (star (passenger))
Source: RNAcentral